RNAcentral lists this long non-coding RNA (5454 nucleotides) under Heterocephalus glaber (naked mole-rat). Its description in RNAcentral is "lncRNA (ENSHGLG00100050135.1)". The record is from RNAcentral. Lineage: Eukaryota; Metazoa; Chordata; Mammalia; Rodentia; Bathyergidae.
CGCUAGAGACUCUGCCUCCUAAGAGACACGUUAAGCUGACUCUGUGUCUCUGUCAUUCAUCUUCACUCCCCAGGUCAGAGAGAACAAAGCAGCAGCUCUAGGUCCCGGAAUAAGGCUGGCCGAGUGGGUCAGCUACAGGUGGUGCCCCAGCAUGGGGCUCGGGACCUGGGCUUGCCUACAUAUAGGUGUUUUCUCCCUCCCCACAGAUCCAAGGGGAAGAAUGGGGCAGGUCUGGGUCCUGUUUAGGAAGGGUGGUCUGUAGCCAGAAGAAGACAGGAGAGGUGCUGGAGAAGCAACACAUGUGGCCCCCUUGGUCCUAGAGAGAGGAGGGGGUGCUGUUUCUCCUCACAGUCACAUCUCAGGACAGUGAACCAGGUGGUGCAGUCCUUGCCCCUGCAGAGCUCACCUUCCAGAGAAGAUCCUAGACAGAUAAAUAGGCACACGCAGCAGCGUCACUUAGCAUCUGGGUGGGUAGGGGAACAGCCCACCCACCCUGGGGCUGUAAAGGCAAGGGAGGUGCUAAUUAGGUGGGGUGGCAGAGAAAGCUGCUAGGAGGGUGCAAAAUGUGCAGAAAGUACAGUGCACUCAGGGUUAACCACAGCAUUUCUGGAAGAAAAGAAUACAAGCAGAGGAAAGAGCAAGUUCAAAGGCCCUGUGGUGAGAAUGCUCAGUGUGGCCAGAGUGGAACGACACAGAGGGAGGAGAGGAGAUCUGAUAGCUAUGCAAGGCCCAGAUCCUGGGCUCAGGUUGUAUCUAGGCCUUGGCAAGGAGUCUAGAUUUGCUUUAGAGGGAGAAGAAACUGAUGGGGUUUUUCUGAACAGGAGAAUGCCAUGAUCCUAUUUGCAUUUACAAAGAACACUCCCAUGACUCCAUAGUGAUUUUUUAAAUAGAUACAUCCCAUCUGUACUCCAGCCUCAUCAGUAUGUUUCUUAAAUCAGUUAACUUUACUCAAGUAACAUUCUUAAGGAAAUUUGAUGUUCCACCUCUGCAAAUGAAAAAUCAGUAUUGUCUGCCAUAAAUAGAAGAAAACCCGUAAAAACAAAUACAACCAAAACAAAGAAGUGUUAUUACUUUUUCACCAAAGACUCCUAACGAUGAUGAACCUGAGCCUGGAGCCCCCUCUGUCUGAAGGAAAGUUAGUAAGCACUGGAGAACCUAAAGUCAACUAGCACCCACCUGAGACUCUCUCCACGGGGCGCUGGAGUAUCUGAAAGAAACUUGGUGCGGAAAUACGUCUCCCACAGUAGGAUACCCCAGUCCUUCAUGCUGGUUCCAGUAGCCACAAAUCAUCUCAUAGCCUUCAUGGGCACCCUGACUAGUCUUUGGGGAAAACAUCAUAAGGGAAUAUAUUUUCAAUUUGAUAUUUCAGGUAUACUUGAAAUCAAAUCAAAAGACUUCCAGGGGCUGGGGACUUAGCUCAGUGGUUCUGGAGCCUGCCUUGCAAGUGCAAGGUCCCUAGUUCGAUCUUCGGUACAAAAAAAGAAAAAGGCUUCCAUCCUUCCCCUCUGAGACCAGCUGUGCUGUCCUCUACAUGGGAUUUCUUCUCAGGGAGGCUCAUCCCCUGAGCUGGACAGCUCCCAGCUGACUGCCUCCCUGCUCAGUGGCAGCAGCAGAAAGACAGGUGCCCACAACACCAGCCCCAAAGUCCGAGGUUGCUCACCAUUGACUGCCUUGAGUCACGUGCCCUUUGCUGGACCAAUCACAGUGGCCAGAAAUGGAAUAUGGGGUCAUCAAGGCCCAGACACAGAGGUGUGGGGGCUCCCAAUAUGCCACUCUCAGGAGACAUAGGCUGCUAGAAACAACAGAUGACCCCUGUACUAGGGAACAGUUAAAAGAAAAUACUGGGCUGGGGAUUUAGCUCAGUGGUUUUGCCACCUGCUGCUGCAUAAGCACAAGGACCCGAGUUCAAUCCCUGGUAUCAAAAAAAAAAAAAAUACUAAUGCUCUUUGACAUUCUGAAAUCAAAGAUUUGAAAUCCAAACUCAUAAGUGACAGUUCAUUUUAAGUCAACUUGGCAAGGCCGUGGUGCCCAGAGAUGAGGUCAAAUAUUAUUUAGAAGUUUCUAUAAGGGUGUUUGGGGAUGAGAUUAACAUUUAAAUCAGUGGACUUUAAGGAAAGCAGAUUGCCCUCCAUAAUGUGGGGGGCCACAUCCAAUCAGGUGAAGGCCUGCAUAGAAGAAAACACUGACCUCCUGCAAGCAAAAAGAAUUCUUCAGCAGAUGUCUCAGACUUAAACAGCAGCACCAGCUCCUUCCAGGGUCUCCAGCCUGCUGCUCUACCCUGCGGGUGCUGGACUUGCCAGCCCCCAUAGCCACAGGAGCCAAUUGCUGAAGAUAAACUUCUUUCCGUAUAUGAACCAUAGGUGUUGAAAAACUUUACCCUCUGAAGGUUUGAUAAUUGGGUCUAUGAAGUAUACUGACAAUGGACAGACUAAUGGGAGAAAAGUUAUACAAAUUCCUUACCCACACAGGGGCAUCACAGGAAAGAGAAGUGACCAGUCCCAGCCCAGGGUGAUCCGGAAUCAUAUAUACCUGCUUCAGUGGGGAGGGGGAAGGGGAAGGCUAACUGGCCAUUGGGUGCCAGCCGGGGGUAAAGUAUCUGGGCACAGAGUGACCUUGGGUACACCUGCUGUGAUGGAAGUCCACCUUUCUCUGGCUGACCAGGGCCCUGGCAGGGGAUUCUUGAUUAUUGGUUGGUUCCCUUUGUAGGAUCCAACUUUAGGCAGAUAAGGGAAGCUUGGCCGAGCCCUCUCUGUGCUUGCUGUCCCCAGGUGUCCUCUCUCUGAAAUACUCCACACACUCAAGGGCAUGUUUUUGGUGGCAUCUUUUGAACUCCUCAGCACAUGUUCUGUUGAGUGUGUCUUCUGGGAGCCCUGACUCACACCACACACUGUACUUGAAUAAAGGUUACUUCCAAAGCCCCUCACCUCUGGACUGUAACCAACUUGGUGACAAACUUAGUCCAUCUCCAUAUGCUGGCAUUUGCCACGUGGAAAAGGCCAUUUGACAGAUGGAAGCUGCGGUCCCACCCCAACUCCCAUUUCCUCUCUCUCUUUAAUGUUGAUUUUAUGCUCAUUUUAGAGACCCAGUCAAAAAGAUGGAUACAAGGCCAAAUCAGUGACAAAUGAAAAAGGGAUUUAGACACCUUGAGCUUUUGUGUUGUGUGGUGUGUGUGUGUGUGUGAGAGAGAGAGAGAUUAGUACUAUCCUUCGAAGGAAGGAAGGAGGAAGCUGAAUUCCUGACAGGGCUGGGAGGAGAUGGUGCCUGAACAGACUCUUGCAGUGGACCUCCACCUAGCCCUGUCUCCUAGGAUGAGGGUCCUCCAGUUUUCCUCCAGGGAUUGAAUUCACCUGACCCCACUGAUGGCCCAGUAUGAGCUCUUCCUGCUGCCAUCUGCUGCCCAGGGCCCAGGAUACCCUGUUCCUGCCCCUCCAAUGCCUCCUGCUCCCCAGACCUUCUGGUCGUUCUGCAUUUCUGUGCUCCAGGGUCUAACGUGGAUUCUGUGCCCUGUGACCUCAAAACCCAACAUAACUGAAGAAUGAAAAAAUCUUUAAAAUCACAAGGAAGGCGGCGGCAGAGGUGAUGGCGGCGGCAGAGGUGAUGGCGGCAGCAGCACCACCUGAGAACAGAGCUGGGCCCGGGCAUGGUGGCGCGUUCUGCACUGUGAGAGCGCAGCGGCCGCUGGAUCGCCAUGCGCCAGCGGCUCCAAAGCUCGGGCCUUUGGCCCUUCGCCUCGGCGACGGGAGGCAGCGUCCCGGAGACGAGACUGCGGGCGCUGAGCAAGCCUUGGGCAUCGUGAGGCUGGAUCUCCCCCGCAGCCACGUGGAUUUCCCUGUGAUCCUCUAUGAGCUGUGAGCCUGGUGGGUGAAGACACAAGCACCCCCUCUGACCCAGCAAGAAACUUCCUGUCACAAGGUGUAGCUUCCAUUGAGCACCCCAGGCUGGGGCCACAGCCCUUCGUGAACUCUGUUGGCCCAGAACCUUCAGCUGUAAGCAGGGCAGCCCUCGGUAUAAAUCGGGUAUUGGUUUGUGUGUGGACAAGAGAGGUUUGGUGUCUGGCAAAGGCUAACGGGAGAGUUACCAGCAGAGCUUUCCCAGCCACAGGGCAUCUGCCAGUCAGGAAUGUGUGGUUCCUGGUUCCUUGCCUGGCUGGUCUGCUUUCUUCCAAGCUUGCCUAGGGCCCAGCCUCACUAAAAGCUACAGCACUUUCCAUGCAAAAUCUGCCUUCUUCCAGCCCCUGGACUUUGGGAGCUCUACACAAGUGGGAACUUCCUUUCCCUCACUUCCUUUACCCCCUAGUCAGAGCAUUUCAGCCAUUUCUACCUCUAUACUUCCUGAUUGGACAGAGGCUGAGGACAGCACCCACCUGAUGCUUCCCACCUACCUGCCAUUUGUUCCCACUUUCACAUGGACAGUUUGCUGGCUGUUAACUGGAAUGAGGACUGGUAUGGGUAGCUUCUCCUUUUCCCAGGGCUUGGCUAAUUGCUCCCCAGUGCAACUAGUUAUUGCCCUCUCCUCAGUUAAGAGGUACAGGCCAGAGUCAGAACAGGCUAUGGGCGUCUGUGCCUAUGGGAAGUUGCCCCAAGCCUAUUCUAACCGCCUCCCCCCUUGCCUUUGCACCAGCCAUUCCCCCUACUAUCCAGUUGGGAGGGUCCACUACCCUGUGAUGAAGACCAACAUACUAGGGCUGGUGCCUGUAGCGCUAUGAGGAGACCACCACUCUUCUGCCACAAUAUCUUCACCCCUUCUGGAUCAGUCAAGGGAAAGUACUAGGGCCCCUUGAAAAGCACAGAAAGGAGGGCAAAAACAUAAAAGGGAAUACUGUACUUAAAGUGUGAAGAUUUGUAAAUAGUCUAGUCCAUGCUGAUGUUAGGGCAGAGUCUGAUUUCUACACAGAAAUGACUUUCUUUUUCUUUUAAUUUCUUAUUGUGCAAGUUCUAUGCUUCUAGCAUGGGACAUGGCUUGGGGAUGAUGCUCCCCAGUAUAGGAAGAUUGUUGUGCUAUUUGUUCGAUUUCAAUAAAAUUAUUUGUAGAUCCUGUAAAAAAAUAAAAUCAGAAGGAAAAAAAUUGUUUAAAGUUGCCAUGGCUACCAAGUGAAAAGUGCAACAUUCUGUAGCAAAUUCUGCAAACUGUAAGAUUUCAUUAUUAAAUACUUUGUUUUCAAUAAAAAACUGAUGUUAAUGUUUAUAAAAUAAUUGAAGAAAUGUUCAAAGUGCUCAUUGUCACUCCUUGUGUUUGAGAAAGAAGUACAGCAGUGAAAUUGUUUUGGAAAAUAUAAAAGUUGUUGGUGAUUUGGUUUUAAGUUGUUAUCUCUUACAUCUUCACGUCACUCAGUAAGCUUUUCUGCUCUCUGUCAACCUUAAAAUGCAUAAACAUCACAAAUAUGAGAAAUAUAUAUCUUAUUUUGAAUAAAAAUUAGUAUUGCAAAAAUUAGUGUUGGGCAUUUUUUUAUAUUAU